This 1352-nucleotide ribosomal RNA is filed under the name uncultured bacterium. Its description in RNAcentral is "bacterial SSU rRNA". It matches the Rfam family "Bacterial small subunit ribosomal RNA", at positions 28 to 1382 of the family's 1533-position model. The record is from RNAcentral.
GACCAACGCCUGGCGGCCCCCCCAACACAUGCCAGUUCCAACGAACAAGAAAAAACUUGCUUUCCCCAGCGAGUGGCGAACGGGUGAAUAACGCCGUGAGGAACCUGCCUCAAAGAGGGGGAAAGCAGUUGGAAACGACUGCUAAUACCGCAUAAGCCCACGGGUCGGCAUCGACCAGAGGGAAAAGGAGCAAUCCGCUUUGAGAUGGCCUCGCGUCCGAUUAGCUAGUUGGUGAGGUAACGGCCCACCAAGGCGACGAUCGGUAGCCGGACUGAGAGGUUGAACGGCCACAUUGGGACUGAGACACGGCCCAGACUCCUACGGGAGGCAGCAGUGGGGAAUAUUGCACAAUGGGGGAAACCCUGAUGCAGCGACGCCGCGUGGAGGAAGAAGGUCUUCGGAUUGUAAACCCCUGUUGUUGGGGAAGAUAAUGACGGUACCCAACAAGGAAGUGACGGCUAACUACGUGCCAGCAGCCGCGGUAAAACGUAGGUCACAAGCGUUGUCCGGAAUUACUGGGCGUAAAGGGAGCGCAGGCGGGAAGACAAGUUGGAAGUGAAUCUAUGGGCUCAACCCAUAAACUGCUUCAAAACUGUUUUUCUUGAGUAGUGCAGAGGUAGGCGGAAUUCCCGGUGUAGCGGUGGAAUGCGUAGAUAUCGGGAGGAACACCAGUGGCGAAGGCGGCCUACUGGGCACCAACUGACGCUGAGGCUCGAAAGUGUGGGUAGCAAGCAGGAUUAGAUACCCUGGUAGUCCACACCGUAAACGAUGAUUACUAGGUGUUGGAGGAUUGACCCCUUCAGUGCCGCAGUUAACACAAUAAGUAAUCCACCUGGGGAGUACGACCGCAAGGUUGAAACUCAAAAGGAAUUGACGGGGGCCCGCACAAGCAGUGGAGUAUGUGGUUUAAUUCGACGCAAACGCGAAGAACCUUACCAAGUCUUGACAUCCCUUGACAGGCAUAGAAAUAUGUUUUCUCUUCGGAGCAAGGAGACAGGUGGUGCAUGGUUGUCGUCAGCUCGUGUCGUGAGAUGUUGGGUUAAGUCCCGCAACGAGCGCAACCCUUAUGGUCAGUUACUACGCAAGAGGACUCUGGCCAGACUGCCGUUGACAAAACGGAGGAAGGUGGGGAUGACGUCAAAUCAUCAUGCCCUUUAUGACUUGGGCUACACACGUACUACGAAUGGCGUUAAACAAAGAGAAGCGAAGACCGCGAGGUGGAGCAAAAACUCAGAAAAACAAACGUUCCCGGUUUCGGACUGCGGAGCUGCGAACUCGCCUGCGCGAAAGUUCGGAAAUUGCUAGUGAAUCGUGAAUCAGCAUGCCACGGUAAAUACGUUUCCCGGGGCCCU